Molecule: transfer RNA, 73 nt
Filed under: Actinomadura rayongensis
Lineage: Bacteria; Bacillati; Actinomycetota; Actinomycetes; Streptosporangiales; Thermomonosporaceae
Also listed under: 1 other name
Description: tRNA-Gln
Rfam family: tRNA
About the family: Transfer RNA (tRNA) molecules are approximately 80 nucleotides in length.
Source: RNAcentral
UCCGGCGUGGUGAAAUUGGCAUUCACGGCGGGUUUUGGUCCCGCUAUUCCUGGUUCGAGUCCAGGCGCCGGAG